GGAGCGAAGCUUGCUUUGCUCCGCCGGCGACCGGCGCACGGGUGAGUAACGCGUAUGCAACCUGCCCGUUUCAGCGGGAUAACCCGGAGAAAUCCGGCCUAAUACCGCAUGUGGCCGAGGGAAGGCAUCUUCUUUCGGCCAAAGGAGGCGACUCCGGAGACGGAUGGGCAUGCGUGACAUUAGCUAGUUGGCGGGGUAACGGCCCACCAAGGCGACGAUGUCUAGGGGUUCUGAGAGGAAGGUCCCCCACACUGGUACUGAGACACGGACCAGACUCCUACGGGAGGCAGCAGUGAGGAAUAUUGGUCAAUGGGCGAGAGCCUGAACCAGCCAAGUCGCGUGAAGGAUGACGGCCCUACGGGUUGUAAACUUCUUUUGUCAGGGAGCAAUUGAGUCCACGUGUGGGCUUAGCGAGAGUACCUGAAGAAAAAGCAUCGGCUAACUCCGUGCCAGCAGCCGCGGUAAUACGGAGGAUGCGAGCGUUAUCCGGAUUUAUUGGGUUUAAAGGGUGCGUAGGCGGAAUAUCAAGUCAGCGGUAAAAAUUCGGGGCUCAACCCCGUCGUGCCGUUGAAACUGAUGUUCUUGAGUGGGCGAGAAGUAUGCGGAAUGCGUGGUGUAGCGGUGAAAUGCAUAGAUAUCACGCAGAACUCCGAUUGCGAAGGCAGCAUACCGGCGCCCAACUUGACGCUGAAGCACGAAAGCGUGGGUAUCGAACAGGAUUA
RNAcentral lists this ribosomal RNA (722 nucleotides) under uncultured bacterium. RNAcentral's name for it is "bacterial SSU rRNA". It matches the Rfam family "Bacterial small subunit ribosomal RNA", at positions 67 to 780 of the family's 1533-position model. The record is from RNAcentral.